CUCAAGAUAAUGACCGACGGUGUUAACAGCAGGGUCAAGAGUUAGGACUGUCCUUCCUGAAUAUCCCACCUGUCCUACCCGAAGACAUCACCAUCCCAACUCCAGAGGAAAAUGCCCUUGAGUUUCUAUAUCGUUUUGCCAUCAAAAUACAUCCACACUGACAAGCCUGCUUAGACCAGUGCUCCUAAGUGUUCCUGUCUUGAUGGAUUAGCUUGGCCAGGACAAGUUUACACAUCACUGGAGAAGUGUGAAGAGGGAGUGCGGAUGGAAAAAAAAUAGAGACACAAGAAGAGGUUUAUAAUGUUUGAAAUUAGGCAGCCCAGCCCGGAACUUUCCAUAAAAACUUUCUCCUG
Molecule: long non-coding RNA, 353 nt
Filed under: Cricetulus griseus (Chinese hamster)
Lineage: Eukaryota; Metazoa; Chordata; Mammalia; Rodentia; Cricetidae
Description: lncRNA (ENSCGRG00015035984.1)
Source: RNAcentral